Long non-coding RNA from Neocloeon triangulifer, 1295 nucleotides. RefSeq lists it as uncharacterized. The transcript has 6 exons. Lineage: Eukaryota; Metazoa; Arthropoda; Insecta; Ephemeroptera; Baetidae. The record is from RefSeq and is a predicted model, not a curated record.
CAUUACUGCCAAGAUCAACAAGAUGUAUGUGUAUAAAUAAUAAUAAUAAAGCCUUCAUGAUCUUCAUCUUCAAUUACGUCUUGAUUACCUGCAUGCAAAAAUUGCAAGAAAAUCGUGGAUAUCGGGCAAGAGAAGCAGAUAAUUUUCCCUUUAUCCAUCGCAUUCGAGCACAGCUGAAAGAUACAUAAAAUGAUGAGUGAAGAAUUAUCUCAUUAUUUGCGCUUAUGGUCCGUCUUGUUCCCCGGAAUCUCCUGAUGCUAUUGGCUGGUCAAUCCACAAGAAAUAAAUUAUAAUUCCUUAAAAUUUGAGAGAGCGUGAGCAUGAGAAGUGGCUUAAAUUUACAUCACUAAAAAAUUUUAUCUAUGUACCUAUCACAUCACUAUGUAUCCAGCACAAAUUUACAUAGCAUUGACUGUUAUUUUGGAAAUUCAUUUAAAGAUUCUCCAGCUGGACGCAUUUUCUUCAUAUUGUUGUUGAGCAGUCGAACCUUUGCUGUUGACGGCAGCGUAGUCUUCUAGGAGGAGAGGACGUCUUGACCUGGGCGUCUUUCCAAAAUCUCUUCUCAAAGACUCACUGUAAAUACCAAAGGUUGACAGAAUCAAACCAUAGCCAAUGAAGAAAGCAGUUUAUUGAACUUGGUCUGCACUAGCGAGUACAUAGCGAAAGCGGUCCUCGGAGAGAUUGUGAUUGGUAAAAAGCCUACCUUUGUCAUCACCCAUUGAAGAGAGCUGAAAAAUUUCAACCCUACCAUCAUGCUCAAUCAGGGAAUGCAUUGCGACUACCUGACCUGAAUUAAUUUAUUGUAAAUUUGGAUUUGCUAAUUUCUUGUAUUUAAUUUCUUUUAUAUUAUUUACUUUUUUCCACUUUGUAGUUAUUCCGUUAACUGCUUUUGUCAUAUACAGCAGAGUAAGAUCUUUCAAUUUAUGGACCUUUUCACAGUUGGAUGAAACGUUGGACAAAAAGUCAUCUUGAUCCUAUGUGACUUCUUUUCGACCAGGCAUAAGGAGACAUACUUGAGGUCUUGCCUACAUACUCCAGAGCCUAAUGUAGCGUUAUGAAGGAAAUUUUAUGGUUGAUAUUCCUUUCAAUGGGUAAUAGAUGAAACUCUUGCCUUCAUCCAUGAUGGGAGGCAAUAAGUGACUCCAAGGUCCAACUGCUCACUUAAACACACCCACCCUUGGAUUGGUGCAGCAGAUCCACAAGGAAGUGUCUAAAUGCAUUAACAAAGGCAUCAAGAUGUUUGUGUCAUCCUUGAUAACUGUAAUUUAUUUAUCAAAAAUAAAUGUGUACGAAAA